GUAGCGGCGAGCGAACGGGGAGCAGCCCAGAGUCUGAAUCAGCUUGUGUGUUAGUGGAACGGUCUGGAAAGUCCGACGGUACAGGGUGAUAGUCCCGUACACCAAAAUGCACAGGCUGUGAACUCGAAGAGUAGGGCGGGACACGUGGUAUCCUGUCUGAAUAUGGGGGGACCAUCCUCCAAGGCUAAAUACUCCUGACUGACCGAUAGUGAACCAGUACCGUGAGGGAAAGGCGAAAAGAACCCCGGCGAGGGGAGUGAAAAAGAACCUGAAACCGUGUACGUACAAGCAGUGGGAGCACCUUCGGGUGUGACUGCGUACCUUUUGUAUAAUGGGUCAGCGACUUAUAUUCUGUAGCAAGGUUAACCGUAUAGGGGAGCCGCAGGGAAACCGAGUCUUAACUGGGCGUUAAGUUGCAGGGUAUAGACCCGAAACCCGGUGAUCUAGCCAUGGGCAGGUUGAAGGUUGGGUAACACUAACUGGAGGACCGAACCGACUAAUGUUGAAAAAUUAGCGGAUGACUUGUGGCUGGGGGUGAAAGGCCAAUCAAACCGGGAGAUAGCUGGUUCUCCCCGAAAGCUAUUUAGGUAGCGCCUCGUGAACUCAUCUUCGGGGGUAGAGCACUGUUUCGGCUAGGGGGUCAUCCCGACUUACCAACCCGAUGCAAACUACGAAUACCGAAGAAUGUUAUCACGGGAGACACACGGCGGGUGCUAACGUCCGUCGUGAAGAGGGAAACAACCCAGACCGCCAGCUAAGGUCCCAAAGUCAUGGUUAAGUGGGAAACGAUGUGGGAAGGCACAGACAGCCAGGAUGUUGGCUUAGAAGCAGCCAUCAUUUAAAGAAAGCGUAAUAGCUCACUGGUCGAGUCGGCCUGCGCGGAAGAUGUAACGGGGCUAAACCAUGCACCGAAGCUGCGGCAGCGACACUAUGUGUUGUUGGGUAGGGGAGCGUUCUGUAAGCCUGCGAAGGUGUGCUGUGAGGC
This 985-nucleotide ribosomal RNA is filed under the name Klebsiella pneumoniae. RNAcentral's name for it is "partial 23S ribosomal RNA". It matches the Rfam family "Bacterial large subunit ribosomal RNA", at positions 243 to 1269 of the family's 2925-position model. The record is from RNAcentral. Lineage: Bacteria; Pseudomonadati; Pseudomonadota; Gammaproteobacteria; Enterobacterales; Enterobacteriaceae.